RNA transcript from Manis pentadactyla (Chinese pangolin), 3485 nucleotides. It is a transcript of the gene named solute carrier family 19 member 2, with no coding region annotated. The record is from RefSeq and is a predicted model, not a curated record. NCBI's taxonomy places the organism in Eukaryota, Metazoa, Chordata, Mammalia, Pholidota, Manidae. The transcript is spliced from 6 exons.
GGGGCCGCGCGCGGGCCUCGCCGAGGUGGCGGCGGAGACGCGGGGUCGGAGGCCGGGCGCGCCCCGCGUGGCGGAUGGAGUGGCCGGGCCCGGGGCGCCGGCGGGCGGCCGCUCUGCUGCGCGCGGCCCGGGUCCCGCGCCGCUGCUGGCUCCUGCCCACCGCGCUGCUGUGCGCGUACGGCUUCUUCGCCAACCUCCGGCCUUCCGAGCCCUUCCUGACCCGCUACCUGCUGGGGCCCGACAAGAACCUCACCGAGAGGCAGGAGCCCCAGCCGGGCCUGCUCCUGGUGCUGAAGGUGCUGUGGGCUGACUUCCUGGCGUGUUACUCCUCGCGCCCUCUGCUCUGCUGGUCUGUGUGGUGGGCCCUGUCCACCUGCGGCUACUUCCAAGUCCUGAACUACGCGCAGGGCCUGUGGGAGAAGGUGAUGCCUUCCCGCCAGGCUGCCAUCUACAACGGCAGCGUGGAGGCACUUUCCACCUUCCUGGGUGCUGCUGCCGUGUUCGCGGUUGGUUACAUCAAGGUGUCCUGGUCGAUGUGGGGGGAAGUGGCGCUGUCCCUGUUCUCCGUCCUGAUCGCUGCUGCCGUGUACGUCAUGGACACUACGUGCAGCAUCUGGGUGUGCUAUGCAUCCUAUGUUGUCUUCAGGAUCAUCUACAUGUUACUCAUCACUGUAGCCACUUUUCAGAUUGCUGCGAACCUUAGCAUGGAGCACUACGCCCUGGUGUUUGGUGUGAAUACCUUCACUGCCCUGGCGCUGCAGACUCUGCUCACGCUGAUUGUGGUGGACGCCAGCGGUCUUGGCUUAGAAAUCACCACUCAGUUCCUCAUCUACGCUAGUUACUUUGCACUCAUUGCUGUGGUUUUCCUGACUAACGGCACCAUCAGCGUUAUCAAGAAAUACAGUAAACAGGACGGUCCAGAAUCAGGUCCUCAAGCAACUACUUCAUGAUGCACUGCUGACCGAUGGCACGGCACCUGAGCCUGGGUGGAUUUAAAUUUUUUAAAAAUGUGUAUUUAUGAAUGUGCAUUUCAUGACUUCAGAGCAGCCAACUGACCUUUGUUCCUAGAGUUACAUGAUACUGUUCAGAGGAGCCAGAAGUGAAGUUUAUGUCACAAAUUAUUUAUGAGAGCUCAUUUAAGGAUUACUUUUUUUUUAAAUUAAAAAGUGAACUUGUUUUUGAAAAUCAGGUGAUCAAGGGCACCAAGCAGCACAUGGUGGCAUAUACUUGAUAGCAAGUGAGUUGGGUGUUUCACAGGCCAAGUACUUCUGUGACUAGCCAGAGCUUGACCUGGUUGCACUACAGCUCCACAGGGGCCACAAGAUUUCAAAGGUCAGGAUGGAAGUGUGUUCUAUCAGCACCUAACUGUUCAACGUAAUUCUUAGGUUUGUUACUCAGAAGCAUUUGUGUUUCUACCGAUGAAGGUUGUUCCUAUCACUGGCAAUAUUUGCUCUGGUUUGAUGUUCAGUCCUGUAAGGAGUGUCAUUUCUGAUUUUAAGUUAUUUAAAAAAACUCAUUGUCUGAAUGUUCUCAGUUCCCAUCCUGACAGUUAUGUGCUUGUGUAGAUUUUCUUUAAUACAUUUUUGCAUAAUUCAUAUGCUUCCUAGAGAAGCCAUUUAGUUAGAAUAUAGAGUGAGUGUUGAGGCCUGCUGAUAAUCUAAAUGAAGAGACCUAGUCAGGAAACAAGUGAAUUUGCUUGUCUUUCAUUCCUCAGUAUGAAGGGCUGUUCAGUCCAUGAUAAAACUUAGUCAAUUGGCUAAUUUUACAACUAGUCCAUUUGUAUUUGCAUCCCCUUUUACUUCCAAAAUAAAACGAAAAGAUCUUUUUUAACAUAAUUUCAUCCCUAUUUCUAAUUUACAUGUUACUUGUCCUUAUCCAAGAUAAAGGUGUCCUCAGGAGUUAGAUUAUCCCAAGGUUUUUUUUUCCUCAGAAGUUGAGCCUUUUAAAAAUUAUUUCAGUGGCACAAAAAGCAGGAUAGACUUGAUUCCUGCAUUUGUACACUAAAUUUGACUGUGUUUUGGAGGGUGGAACAUCUUGCAUACUUGCUUAAAAUAACUGUUAGUGUGAUUCCAUCUCCAGGGUACUUGAAAAAAUGUCAUUCUGUAUACAUUUAAUUAUGAAAUCACUCUACCAAAUGGCUGCUAGUACAGUGUAUGUGAGAUAUGAAAAGUAUUGUAACAGCCUAUUCUGUUGCCUUACCAUGAAAAAAAUCUAGGGUAACUUUUUUAGAGUGACACGGAUCAACAGUGUGAAUAAUAGUAUCAAGAUUCCAAAACUGACAUAGUCAUAUGAUGUGAGCAGGAAUUCUAGAAGCAAGCGAAUGAGAAUCAGAACGGGUCAUUUGUAUUCACCUUCCUAAUUAAGGGAAAGGAAAAUGCUAAGGGAAUGGGAAGUGAUGUCAUAAAAGUAGCAGCCUCUAAUCCUGCAUUUAUUUGUAGAAAAGUGGUGUUUGAGGGAUCUUAUUUAACUUUUUAAUAAAAUGAGCUACAGUACAAUCAAAUUGUUCAUGUUACCAAAGCACUAUUUCCGUGGAAUUUAAUUCAAAGUUUGUGGCACACAGCUGGAGCCUUUACUUAUUUAAGGCAGUAAUAAGUUCACCUCGUGGUGUGUGGCCAUAUUUGUAAAAUGUUAAGCCCAAUUUACAAGUUGUAUGCAAUUCUACAAAGAAGUGUACUUUUUAUUCAAUUCUAUAUAGAUUGUUAUUUUUAUUAAAAAACAUUUUACAGUACAUUUUCCUUUUUAAUCAAAAUUAGUUAUCUUCUGCUUCAGUGGGUUUGGGUUACAUUUUAAAAUCUUUUAGUAAUUUCUCUUGGGACAGAUUUCAUGUUAAGCCUAACUACCUUGUCAUCCUGUUAAUUCUUCCAUUGCUUUGUGAUCUUUACCUUUGACUUGUCCCUCUUCUGUUAUUUUCUCAAUUUUUUCCUCAUACCACACUGCACUGUUAAUUUUUCUUGGUCGUCAUCUUGGUACCUUUCAACUUUAUUUUUAAAACAUUCUUCCUUUUAGUAACUGAAAAGACCCACAUUCCCUUAGAUAUUAACUGAAUUUUUUAAAUUAAGGAAAUAAAAUAAAAACAAGGGCAGAAGGUAACAUCCUGUUUUGAAACUUCAUGGCCUUUUCGUUCCAGCCCCAUAUUCUGAUACGCAGGAGAGGAUCGAUCCUCUUGCUGUCAGCUGAGAAUCAUUUGAUCGUUAUAUCCCAGAAACCAAAUCAAUUUUUUCUCACAGCAUUCAAAUGAAUACCUUCCCUUUAAUAUCCCAUUCCAAAAGCUGCUUUCCUUAAGGUGUUUCAUUAAUUAUCAUCAAGGACUUGAAAGUUUUCAUGCAAAAGAAGUUUUUAAAGAUAAAAUUUUCUGUCCCUAUAGGUGUAUCCCCUGUACCGUAAUGCCUUUCAGAUUGUAAGCUUUCUGAGCAGGGACCAUGUUUUAGCUUUCUGUUUUGUGGCAGAACACAUCCUAGUGCCCUAUAAAUGUUGAAUUAUAUAAA